Molecule: ribosomal RNA, 249 nt
Filed under: uncultured bacterium
Lineage: Bacteria
Description: partial 16S ribosomal RNA
Rfam family: Bacterial small subunit ribosomal RNA
Source: RNAcentral
GAUCAUGGCUCAGGAUGAACGUUAGCUACAGGCUUAACACAUGCAAGUCGAGGGGUAGCAUUUCAGUUUGCUUGCAAACUGGAGAUGGCGACCGGCGCACGGGUGAGUAACACGUAUCCAACCUGCCGAUAACUCGGGGAUAGCCUUUCGAAAGAAAGAUUAAUACCCGAUAGUAUAAUUAGACCGCAUGGUCUUAUUAUUAAAGAAUUUCGGUUAUCGAUGGGGAUGCGUUCCAUUAGGCAGUUGGUG